GGGAGAGCUUGUACCUGGCAGGAUGAAAUGCAGUGUGUGAAGGCGUUUAACCCCUUCCUUCCUAGGAGCCACCACGGCAGAUUUUGGUGAGGAUUGCUGAAAAACUCCACGUCGGGAGGCCAGCCCCAACUCCCAUAAAUGGAUCUUGCACGAAGAACUGCCUUUAGAGGGAAGCAAGCUGGGGGAGAUACUUUGGACUCAAAUCUUGGGACAGCAUCUCAACCUUCUUCAGCCCAAAGCCAUCAGUAAUUUGAUACUGUACUCCGGGCAAGCAGCAACCCUGUGAGCGACGUGGAGGCCUGGCCAUAUAAAUGCAUCUCUGACAGCUUCCUGUUGCUCCCUAAUUUGAGCUUUGGCAGGCCACCAGAGGAAGUGAAUCCCUGAG
Molecule: long non-coding RNA, 385 nt
Organism: Calidris pugnax (ruff)
Lineage: Eukaryota; Metazoa; Chordata; Aves; Charadriiformes; Scolopacidae
Exons: 3
Source: RefSeq, a predicted model, not a curated record